Molecule: ribosomal RNA, 393 nt
Filed under: uncultured bacterium
Lineage: Bacteria
Description: partial 16S ribosomal RNA
Rfam family: Bacterial small subunit ribosomal RNA
Source: RNAcentral
AUACGUAGGGUGCAAGCGUUAAUCGGAAUUACUGGGCGUAAAGCGUGCGCAGGCGGUUCGGAAAGAAGGAUGUGAAAUCCCAGGGCUCAACCUUGGAACUGCAUUCUUAACUACCGAACUAGAGUAUGUCAGAGGGGGGUAGAAUUCCGCGUGUAGCAGUGAAAUGCGUAGAUAUGCGGAGGAAUACCGAUGGCGAAGGCAGCCCCCUGGGAUAAUACUGACGCUCAUGCACGAAAGCGUGGGUAGCAAACAGGAUUAGAUACCCUGGUAGUCCACGCCCUAAACGAUGUCAACUAGCUGUUGGGCCCUUCGGGGCUUAGUAGCGUAGCUAACGCGUGAAGUUGACCGCCUGGGGAGUACGGUCGCAAGAUUAAAACUCAAAUGAAUUGACGG